Molecule: long non-coding RNA, 300 nt
Organism: Vicia villosa (hairy vetch)
Lineage: Eukaryota; Viridiplantae; Streptophyta; Magnoliopsida; Fabales; Fabaceae
Exons: 3
Source: RefSeq, a predicted model, not a curated record
AACAACAAAAAUUGAGUGUGAAAGUGGAAGCUACUUACUUGCGGCAAGGAGGUGUUUGCCGGAUUUUGUGUUGAAGUGGCCAUGGGAUCUUACCUCGACGAGAAGAGCUUACCGUAUAACUCGGUUUCUUUCACAAACAGAGAGAAACAUGUUCAUAACAAUAUUGAGAUUAAGAGUGAAAUUGACUUACCUACGGCGAGGAGAGUUUCGCCGGAUUAUCGUUGAGGUAUGUGUUGACUCCUCUAUUGUUACUAACAAUCUUAAAUUGUUACUAACAAUUUCUCUAACAACCUUGCUUGU